UACAGAGGGGGCAAGCGUUAUUCGGAAUUAUUGGGCGUAAAGGGCGCGUAGGCGGCCUUGCAAGUGACGGGUGAAAUCCCUCGGCUUAACCGAGGAACUGCCUGUCAAACUGCAUGGCUUGAGACCGGGAGAGGUGAGUGGAAUUCCCAGUGUAGCGGUGAAAUGCGUAGAUAUUGGGAGGAACACCAGUGGCGAAGGCGGCUCACUGGACCGGUACUGACGCUGAGGCGCGAAAGCGUGGGUAGCAAACAGG
RNAcentral lists this ribosomal RNA (253 nucleotides) under uncultured bacterium. RNAcentral describes it as "partial 16S ribosomal RNA". It matches the Rfam family "Bacterial small subunit ribosomal RNA", at positions 524 to 776 of the family's 1533-position model. The record is from RNAcentral.